Molecule: ribosomal RNA, 901 nt
Filed under: Caulerpa racemosa var. turbinata-uvifera
Lineage: Eukaryota; Viridiplantae; Chlorophyta; Ulvophyceae; Bryopsidales; Caulerpaceae
Description: bacterial SSU rRNA
Rfam family: Eukaryotic small subunit ribosomal RNA (bases 1-450)
Source: RNAcentral
UCGCCGCGCAUACAUGUGGCGCACAACGAGUUUCCUAGGCCGAUAGGAUUGUCUCUUAGCCAGGAUCUUGAGGGAUCCGCGUGACAUCAUGGGCAUGCAGAUGACUGCUUCGAUCAUGAGUCGUUGCGACGGUCUUGCUGUGAUGUUGUCACAGCUAAGAGACACUGGGCAAUCUGAGAGAGCGCUACGUGACUGGGCUAGACUUUUGUAAUUGUUGGUCUUGAACGAGGAAUGCCUAGUAAUCGUAGGUCAUUAUCCUGCGAUGAUUAUGUCCCUGCCCUUUGUACACACCGCCCGUCGCUCCUGCCGUGGCUCGUGCCGGUGAAGAGGGGGAGGCAGCGUCAACGGAGUAACAUCUGAUUGUACGUGGAACCCCUCUGAACCUUCGCGAGUAGAGGAAGGAGAAGUCGUAACAAGGUUUUCGUAGGUGAACCUGCGAAAGGAUCAUUAUCGGCAAAUUCACAACUACAACACUCUCUAUGUGUGUGUAUAUGUAAAACACUUAUGACUAUGGACUAUGUUGUUACUAUAAACACACAUGUCUAUAUGUAACAAUGGUGAUGUUGAUGUCUCUCAACGUUAAAGCAUGCGCAGUGGACGGCUCGGUUCCCGUGUCGAUGAAGGACGUAGCGAAAUACGAAAGGUGUUGCGAAUUGCAAGAUUUCGUGAGUCAAUGAAUAUCCGAAUGCAUUGUCGUCCCUUCGCAGCUUCGGUUGCAAGGGGCGCGUCGGCAACAUCGGCUAAUUGUCGACCUUCAUAGUCUCUUUUGUUAGUCUCUCGUGUGAGAGAGACUGCUGGAUUCUAUGAAGCAGUGGUUUAGUGAACAAGCAUUCGCUGUUGUGGCUGAGUGCUUGUGAUGAUUGUCUCUAACUAUCGACUACUGAUUGAGAUCAACGACAGU